RNAcentral lists this ribosomal RNA (468 nucleotides) under uncultured bacterium. RNAcentral's name for it is "partial 16S ribosomal RNA". It matches the Rfam family "Bacterial small subunit ribosomal RNA", at positions 28 to 507 of the family's 1533-position model. The record is from RNAcentral.
GACGAACGCUGGCGGCGUGCUUAACACAUGCAAGUCGAACGGAAAGGCCCUGCUUUUGUGGGGUGCUCGAGUGGCGAACGGGUGAGUAACACGUGAGUAACCUGCCCUUGACUUUGGGAUAACUUCAGGAAACUGGGGCUAAUACCGGAUAGGAGCUCCUGCUGCAUGGUGGGGGUUGGAAAGUUUCGGCGGUUGGGGAUGGACGCGCGGCUUAUCAGCUUGUUGGUGGGGUAGUGGCUUACCAAGGCUUUGACGGGUAGCCGGCCUGGGAGGGUGACCGGCCACAUUGGGACUGAGAUACGGCCCAGACUCCUACGGGAGGCAGCAGUGGGGAAUAUUGCACAAUGGGCGGAAGCCUGAUGCAGCGACGCCGCGUGCGGGAUGACGGCCUUCGGGGUGUAAACCGCUUUCGCCUGUGACGAAGCGUGAGUGACGGUAAUGGGUAAAGAAGCACCGGCUAACUACGUG